UGGGGAAUAUUGGACAAUGGGCGCAAGCCUGAUCCAGCCAUGCCGCGUGAGUGAUGAAGGCCCUAGGGUUGUAAAGCUCUUUCACCGGUGAAGAUAAUGACGGUAACCGGAGAAGAAGCCCCGGCUAACUUCGUGCCAGCAGCCGCGGUAAUACGAAGGGGGCUAGCGUUGUUCGGAUUUACUGGGCGUAAAGCGCACGUAGGCGGACUAUUAAGUCAGGGGUGAAAUCCCGGGGCUCAACCCCGGAACUGCCUUUGAUACUGGUAGUCUUGAGUCCGAGAGAGGUGAGUGGAAUUCCGAGUGUAGAGGUGAAAUUCGUAGAUAUUCGGAGGAACACCAGUGGCGAAGGCGGCUCACUGGCUCGAUACUGACGCUGAGGUGCGAAAGCGUGGGGAGCAAACAGG
RNAcentral lists this ribosomal RNA (404 nucleotides) under Actinomycetes bacterium. RNAcentral describes it as "Actinobacteria bacterium partial 16S ribosomal RNA". It matches the Rfam family "Bacterial small subunit ribosomal RNA", at positions 355 to 776 of the family's 1533-position model. Lineage: Bacteria; Bacillati; Actinomycetota; Actinomycetes. The record is from RNAcentral.